AAUAGAUACCCAGGUAGUCCACGCCGUAAACGAUGUCGACUUGGAGGUUGUUCCCUUGAGGAGUGGCUUCCGGAGCUAACGCGUUAAGUCGACCGCCUGGGGAGUACGGCCGCAAGGUUAAAACUCAAAUGAAUUGACGGGGGCCCGCACAAGCGGUGGAGCAUGUGGUUUAAUUCGAUGCAACGCGAAGAACCUUACCUACUCUUGACAUCCACGGAACUUUUCAGAGAUGAAUUGGUGCCUUCGGGAACCGUGAGACAGGUGCUGCAUGGCUGUCGUCAGCUCGUGUUGUGAAAUGUUGGGUUAAGUCCCGCAACGAGCGCAACCCUUAUCCUUUGUUGCCAGCGGUUCGGCCGGGAACUCAAAGGAGACUGCCAGUGAUAAACUGGAGGAAGGUGGGGAUGACGUCAAGUCAUCAUGGCCCUUACGAGUAGGGCUACACACGUGCUACAAUGGCGCAUACAAAAGAGAAGCGACCUCGCGAGAGCAAGCGGACCUCAUAAAGUGCGUCGUAGUCCGGAUUGGAGU
This 528-nucleotide ribosomal RNA is filed under the name uncultured bacterium. Its description in RNAcentral is "bacterial SSU rRNA". It matches the Rfam family "Bacterial small subunit ribosomal RNA", at positions 777 to 1304 of the family's 1533-position model. The record is from RNAcentral.